RNAcentral lists this ribosomal RNA (487 nucleotides) under uncultured bacterium. RNAcentral describes it as "bacterial SSU rRNA". It matches the Rfam family "Bacterial small subunit ribosomal RNA", at positions 28 to 526 of the family's 1533-position model. The record is from RNAcentral.
GAUGAACGCUGGCGGCGUGCUUAAUACAUGCAAGUCGAGCGAGGACCACCCGGUGGCAACACCGGGUGACUCCUAGCGGCGAACGGGUGAGUAACACGUGGGCAACCUGCCCCCGACUCUGGGAUAAGCCCGGGAAACUGGGUCUAAUACCGGAUACGAGCCUCCACCGCAUGGCGGAGGUUGGAAAGGGUCUCCGGUCGGGGAUGGGCCCGCGGCCUAUCAGCUUGUUGGUGGGGUAACGGCCCACCAAGGCGACGACGGGUAGCCGGCCUGAGAGGGUGAACGGCCACACUGGGACUGAGACACGGCCCAGACUCCUACGGGAGGCAGCAGUAGGGAAUCUUGCGCAAUGGGCGAAAGCCUGACGCAGCGACGCCGCGUGCGGGACGAAGGCCCUCGGGUUGUAAAGCUCUUUCAGCUGGGAAGAUAAUGACGGUACCAGCAGAAGAAGCCCCGGCUAACUCCGUGCCAGCAGCCGCAGUAAAAC